Molecule: long non-coding RNA, 1080 nt
Filed under: Homo sapiens (human)
Lineage: Eukaryota; Metazoa; Chordata; Mammalia; Primates; Hominidae
Description: non-protein coding lnc-RBKS-4:1
Source: RNAcentral
CUGCUUUUACUGCUGCUGCCACCACUGCUAACACCCCUCCAAACCCAGCACUGCAUGGUUGUCUCAGAGUCCAUCCUGUUACCCAAAUGAUCCCACAGCAACCUCAUGGCACCAUCAUGAAUGGAGACACACAAGGGCACCAUUCACUGUGACAAGACAAUGACAUGCACAUUGCUUUGCCUCCUGCCAGACUACGGGAUGCAGAGAGGGUGCAGACCGAGGACCUUGAAAAAUCAGCUUCAUGUGACAUCAUGGUGGACAUGUGUGAAAAGUACUACCCACAGAGACACUGAUAUGACCAUCACCAGAGAUCUUUCACAGAGACCACGAGCUCCCUGUCACCUGGGAAGCAAUGGCGGACCCAGCUGAGCAAUGUGGACCCAGUUGGGCACAAGCUGCUCCAGACCCAGCUGGGCACAAGCUGCUGGCCCAGUUGCUGGAGCCUAGUGAAGAGGAAAAUAUGGUGUGCAUCCUCUAUGACAAGAUGUACAAGAACUUCAUGGAGGAGGUGGACACAAUAGAUAAUGAGACCUACCAGUGGAAGAAGGGGAAACUUUGACAUACCCUAGCCACUAGCCUGAAUGCUGGCUCAACUUAAUCCCACCUGGAACCAGCCCAACCAAGGUAGGGUUCAAGUGUGUGAUGGAUCUAACUCUUAGAGAAGAGUUUCUGCAGAGACUAGGCUUCUAUUGGUACAUCUGGCUGCCAGACUGGGGCCUGGGGCCCUGGCCCAGUGAUUCCAGGUGCACCUAAGUGGAGAGAGAUGGGAAAUGGCAAAAGUGGAUGCCCUUGAAAGGAACAACUCUACCACCUGGAAUCUAGGCUGCCCCUACCCCAGCCAUCAUCUUUGUUAUCUAUACUGACCAGACUAGACAAUAGUAGUACAGUGUGUGCCUGAGGAGCCCCACUCAUUCUAAAGCUAGCUGCCCCUGCUCAAGCCACGGUGGCUUCUUCAGGACGCCCUGUACCAGGUCAGUGAGAUUCCUGGCUGCAUCUUUGUCCAUAUCAACAGCUUCAUUUGUGGAUGCCAUAUCCAAGAAGGUACCUUGAGCAUGGCCCCUGCAAACUUGCCCUAGUGUC